ACUUUUAACAUUGCUGGACCCCCCUUCCCCCUAAACAAAAGAUCUCAUCACCUUUAAUCCUCAAAGAAAAUACAGCGGCUAGUCGCAAAUCAAACACUAGACGCACCAAUUUUGCACCAAUUUUCCAAUGGCUUCUUUAAUUUUGUGUGUUAUUACAGCUAAUAAUUUGCCCUAAUCUCUGGUUUAUCUGAUCUAUCACAAAUUUGAGACUCAUCGAGCCAAAGGCUGUUGUUUUUAGUGUAGUUCGAAUUGUGGGUGCGAGCCUGCCUAUGUCAAUCGCACUUCUCAUAAAGGAUUGAGAUAUCGGCAUGAGACAGCUGGGUGAGGUUUCUUUGCUGGGAAACUGGCCGAAGGGUGUUGAGAAGACGUAUGAUGGAGGGCCAGAGUAUUGCAUUGAUGUUGUCGCUGUUGGCAAUGUUUUGAGGUUUAUUAAUCAUAGGGCCUAGGUAGUCGGAUAAAGCCAACAAGACAUCUAUAUUAAUAGUAUUAGUUAAUAGAGAAUGUCAAUUUUUUUUUCCAUGAAGUAUUUGUGUAAACAAUGACAUGACUAAUGUGUGUGUAUAUAUAUAUGGUGUUUAUGUGUAUAUAUGAAAACAAAUAAUGGUAAUUUUAGAGACCA
Capsicum annuum is the source of this 619-nucleotide long non-coding RNA. RefSeq lists it as uncharacterized. Lineage: Eukaryota; Viridiplantae; Streptophyta; Magnoliopsida; Solanales; Solanaceae. The record is from RefSeq and is a predicted model, not a curated record. The transcript is spliced from 3 exons.